Molecule: transfer RNA, 69 nt
Filed under: Marmota monax (woodchuck)
Lineage: Eukaryota; Metazoa; Chordata; Mammalia; Rodentia; Sciuridae
Description: tRNA.Ala
Source: RNAcentral
GGAAUGUAGCUCAGUUGGUAGAGUGCUUGCUUUGCAUUCACAAGGCCCUGGGUUCAGUCCUCAGCACCA